UACGAAGGGGGCUAGCGUUGCUCGGAAUCACUGGGCGUAAAGGGUGCGUAGGCGGGUCUUUAAGUCAGGGGUGAAAUCCUGGAGCUCAACUCCAGAACUGCCUUUGAUACUGAGGAUCUUGAGUUCGGGAGAGGUGAGUGGAACUGCGAGUGUAGAGGUGAAAUUCGUAGAUAUUCGCAAGAACACCAGUGGCGAAGGCGGCUCACUGGCCCGGCACUGACGCUGAGGUGCGAAAGCGUGGGGAGCAAACAGG
This 253-nucleotide ribosomal RNA is filed under the name uncultured bacterium. RNAcentral's name for it is "partial 16S ribosomal RNA". It matches the Rfam family "Bacterial small subunit ribosomal RNA", at positions 524 to 776 of the family's 1533-position model. The record is from RNAcentral.